CAUAAACAUCAAGUAGAUAUUGUAAAAAAAGUGAGCAGGUGUAACUGAACACCAGAAAGUGUGUUUGACAAUCUAUGUGAAUUUACCAGCUUGGGAGUAGGAAAGUUUCUUAGGCUAGGUAUUCCUUGAGAAUAGCAAGAAUUAUACUGUGUUUUUCUCAAUCUUCAGCACUUAGCACACUAUCUGAGGCAUUGUCGGCACUCAACAGAUGUUUCUUUGUAAAAUGAGCAGAAGAACAGAUUGAUGCAGCAACUGAAACCUGAAACAGCAUGAGUGUGAUGAUCACAAAGCCCCUGCAGAAAUUAAAGACAAACUCAAGAAGCUACCAUAAAUGGUGGAGAGAGAGGCAGAAAAGCCCUGGAAGACAGAGCAGAAAGUCACCACUUUACAAGACAAGAAAUUGAGGGUAGGGAGUUGGAAGUGAUUUGAAGGAGUUCCACUGGUUAAGAAGCGGCCAAGCACCUCUUAAGGCAUCUGUUUCCCUCUGUGUCCUGCAGUACUGUGCUUCCUGAGCCAGCCAUACUGGAAACUGGGAGAUAAAUUAACGCAGAGGAAGAUGGAAGAGUGAAAAAGAACAAGUCUGGGCAUGAGAAAACUCACUCCGAGGGCUGUGCUCUGCUCUUGAACCUCAUAGGCUUCUGUCUUCAGAACCUUCCCCUCCUGGGGGUCUUACCCUGGGGUACAGAACAGAAUUCAAUGGAACUUAUUUCCUUUAUGCGUAC
Heterocephalus glaber (naked mole-rat) is the source of this 722-nucleotide non-coding RNA. NCBI's taxonomy places the organism in Eukaryota, Metazoa, Chordata, Mammalia, Rodentia, Bathyergidae. The record is from RefSeq and is a predicted model, not a curated record.